This 253-nucleotide ribosomal RNA is filed under the name uncultured bacterium. Its description in RNAcentral is "partial 16S ribosomal RNA". It matches the Rfam family "Bacterial small subunit ribosomal RNA", at positions 524 to 776 of the family's 1533-position model. The record is from RNAcentral.
UACGAAGGGGGCUAGCGUUGCUCGGAAUCACUGGGCGUAAAGCGCACGUAGGCGGCUUCUUAAGUCAGGGGUGAAAUCCUGGAGCUCAACUCCAGAACUGCCUUUGAUACUGAGGAGCUUGAGUCCGGGAGAGGUGAGUGGAACUGAGAGUGUAGAGGUGAAAUUCGUAGAUAUUCGCAAGAACACCAGUGGCGAAGGCGGCUCACUGGCCCGGUACUGACGCUGAGGUGCGAAAGCGUGGGGAGCAAACAGG